RNAcentral lists this ribosomal RNA (559 nucleotides) under uncultured bacterium. Its description in RNAcentral is "bacterial SSU rRNA". It matches the Rfam family "Bacterial small subunit ribosomal RNA", at positions 102 to 648 of the family's 1533-position model. The record is from RNAcentral.
ACGGGUGAGUAACACGUGGAUAACCUACCUAUAAGACUGGGAUAACUUCGGGAAACCGGAGCUAAUACCGGAUAAUAUAUUGAACCGCAUGGUUCAAUAGUGAAAGACGGUUUUGCUGUCACUUAUAGAUGGAUCCGCGCCGCAUUAGCUAGUUGGUAAGGUAACGGCUUACCAAGGCAACGAUGCGUAGCCGACCUGAGAGGGUGAUCGGCCACACUGGAACUAAGACACGGUCCAGACUCCUACGGGAGGCAGCAGUAGGGAAUCUUCCGCAAUGGGCGAAAGCCUGACGGAGCAACGCCGCGUGAGUGAUGAAGGUCUUCGGAUCGUAAAACUCUGUUAUUAGGGAAGAACAAAUGUGUAAGUAACUAUGCACGUCUUGACGGUACCUAAUCAGAAAGCCACGGCUAACUACGUGCCAGCAGCCGCGGUAAUACGUAGGUGGCAAGCGUUAUCCGGAAUUAUUGGGCGUAAAGCGCGCGUAGGCGGUUUUUUAAGUCUGAUGUGAAAGCCCACGGCUCAACCGUGGAGGGUCAUUGGAAACUGGAAAACUUGAGUG